Molecule: ribosomal RNA, 440 nt
Filed under: uncultured bacterium
Lineage: Bacteria
Description: partial 16S ribosomal RNA
Rfam family: Bacterial small subunit ribosomal RNA
Source: RNAcentral
CUACGGGGUGCAGCAGUGAGGAAUAUUGCACAAUGGGGGAAACCCUGAUGCAGCAACGCCGCGUGGACGAAGAAGGCCUUCGGGUCGUAAAGUCCUUUUCUGAGGGAAGAGGAAGGACGGUACCUCAGGAAUAAGUCUCGGCUAACUACGUGCCAGCAGCCGCGGUAAAGCGUAGGAGGCGAGCGUUAUCCGGAUUCACUGGGCGUAAAGGGCAAGUAGGCGGUUGUUUAAGUUAGGUGUGACAUCUCUCGGCUUAACUGGGAGGGAGCGCUUAAAACUAGGCAACUAGAGGGCGGAAGAAGGGGGUAGAACUCCAAAUGUAGCGGUGGAAUGCUCAGAUAUUUGGAAGAAUACCAGUGGCGAAGGCGACCCCCCGGUCCGUGCCUGACGCUGAGAGGCGAAAGCUAGGGUAGCGAACGGGAUUAGAUACCCGAGUAGUC